GAAGGGAAACCGAGUCUUAACUGGGCGUUAAGUUGCAGGGUAUAGACCCGAAACCCGGUGAUCUAGCCAUGGGCAGGUUGAAGGUUGGGUAACACUAACUGGAGGACCGAACCGACUAAUGUUGAAAAAUUAGCGGAUGACUUGUGGCUGGGGGUGAAAGGCCAAUCAAACCGGGAGAUAGCUGGUUCUCCCCGAAAGCUAUUUAGGUAGCGCCUCGUGAAUUCAUCUCCGGGGGUAGAGCACUGUUUCGGCAAGGGGGUCAUCCCGACUUACCAACCCGAUGCAAACUGCGAAUACCGGAGAAUGUUAUCACGGGAGACACACGGCGGGUGCUAACGUCCGUCGUGAAGAGGGAAACAACCCAGACCGCCAGCUAAGGUCCCAAAGUCUAUAUUAAGUGGGAAACGAAGUGGGAAGGCUUAGACAGCUAGGAUGUUGGCUUAGAAGCAGCCAUCAUUUAAAGAAAGCGUAAUAGCUCACUGGUCGAGUCGGCCUGCGCGGAAGAUGUAACGGGGCUAAACCAUGCACCGAAGCUGCGGCAGCGACACUAUGUGUUGUUGGGUAGGGGAGCGUUCUGUAAGCCUGUGAAGGUGGCCUGUGAGGGUUGCUGGAGGUAUCAGAAGUGCGAAUGCUGACAUAAGUAACGAUAAAGCGGGUGAAAAGCCCGCUCGCCGGAAGACCAAGGGUUCCUGUCCAACGUUAAUCGGGGCAGGGUGAGUCGACCCCUAAGGCGAGGCCGAAAGGCGUAGUCGAUGGGAAACAGGUUAAUAUUCCUGUACUUGGUGUUACUGCGAAGGGGGGACGGAGAAGGCUAUGUUGGCCGGGCGACGGUUGUCCCGGUUUAAGCGUGUAGGCUGGUUUUCCAGGCAAAUCCGGAAAACCAAGGCUGAGGCGUGAUGACGAGGCACUACGGUGCUGAAGCGACAAAUGCCCUGCUUCCAGGAAAAGCCUCUAAGCAUCAGGUAACAUCAAAUCGUACCCCAAACCGACACAGGUGGUCAGGUAGAGAAUACCAAGGCGCUUGAGAGAACUCGGGUGAAGGAACUAGGCAAAAUGGUGCCGUAACUUCGGGAGAAGGCACGCUGAUAUGUAGGUGAAGCGACUUGCUCGUGGAGCUGAAAUCAGUCGAAGAUACCAGCUGGCUGCAACUGUUUAUUAAAAACACAGCACUCUGCAAACACGAAAGUGGACGUAUACGGUGUGACGCCUGCCCGGUGCCGGAAGGUUAAUUGAUGGGGUUAGCGGCAACGCGAAGCUCUUGAUCGAAGCCCCGGUAAACGGCGGCCGUAACUAUAACGGUCCUAAGGUAGCGAAAUUCCUUGUCAGGU
This 1328-nucleotide ribosomal RNA is filed under the name human gut metagenome. RNAcentral describes it as "bacterial LSU rRNA". It matches the Rfam family "Bacterial large subunit ribosomal RNA", at positions 668 to 1977 of the family's 2925-position model. The record is from RNAcentral.